Molecule: ribosomal RNA, 497 nt
Filed under: uncultured bacterium
Lineage: Bacteria
Description: partial 16S ribosomal RNA
Rfam family: Bacterial small subunit ribosomal RNA
Source: RNAcentral
GAUGAACGCUGGCGGCGUGCCUAAUACAUGCAAGUCGAGCGAACAGACGAGGAGCUUGCUCCUCUGACGUUAGCGGCGGACGGGUGAGUAACACGUGGAUAACCUACCUAUAAGACUGGGAUAACUUCGGGAAACCGGAGCUAAUACCGGAUAAUAUAUUGAACCGCAUGGUUCAAUAGUGAAAGACGGUUUUGCUGUCACUUAUAGAUGGAUCCGCGCCGCAUUAGCUAGUUGGUAAGGUAACGGCUUACCAAGGCAACGAUGCGUAGCCGACCUGAGAGGGUGAUCGGACAAACUGGAACUGAGACACGGUCCAGACUCCUACGGGAGGCAGCAGUAGGGAAUCUUCCGCAAUGGGCGAAAGCCUGACGGAGCAACGCCGCGUGAGUGAUGAAGGUCUUCGGAUCGUAAAACUCUGUUAUUAGGGAAGAACAAAUGUGUAAGUAACUAUGCACGUCUUGACGGUACCUAAUCAGAAAGCCACGGCUAACUACGUG